AUUGAACGCUGGCGGAAUGCUUUACACAUGCAAGUCGAGCGGCAGCGCGGGGGCAACCCUGGCGGCGAGCGGCGAACGGGUGAGUAACAUAUCGGAACGUACCCUGUCUGGGGGAUAACUAUCCGAAAGGAUAGCUAAUACCGCAUACGACCUGAGGGUGAAAGCGGGGGACCGCAAGGCCUCGCGCGAUAGGAGCGGCCGAUAUCGGAUUAGCUAGUUGGUGAGGUAAAGGCUCACCAAGGCGACGGUCCGUAGCGGGUCUGAGAGGACGACCCGCCACACUGGAACUGAGACACGGUCCAGACUCCUACGGGAGGCAGCAGUGGGGAAUUUUGGACAAUGGGGGCAACCCUGAUCCAGCCAUUCCGCGUGAGUGAAGAAGGCCUUCGGGUUGUAAAGCUCUUUCAGCAGGAACGAAACGGUGAGGGUUAAUACCCUUUACUAAUGACGGUACCUGAAGAAGAAGCACCGGCUAACUACGUGCCAGCAGCCGCGGUAAAGUGUGACUG
RNAcentral lists this ribosomal RNA (509 nucleotides) under uncultured bacterium. RNAcentral describes it as "bacterial SSU rRNA". It matches the Rfam family "Bacterial small subunit ribosomal RNA", at positions 29 to 532 of the family's 1533-position model. The record is from RNAcentral.